Molecule: ribosomal RNA, 255 nt
Filed under: uncultured bacterium
Lineage: Bacteria
Description: partial 16S ribosomal RNA
Rfam family: Bacterial small subunit ribosomal RNA
Source: RNAcentral
UAGCGAACCGUGCGAACGUUGUUCGGAGUUCACUGGGCUUAAAGGGCGCGUAGGCGGGCGGUCAAGUCGGGGGUGAAAUCUUUCAGCUUAACUGGAAAAGUGCCUCCGAUACUGAUCGCCUCGAGGGAGGUAGGGGCAUGUGGAACUUCCGGUGGAGCGGUGAAAUGCGUAGAUAUCGGAAGGAACGCCGGUGGCGAAAGCGACGUGCUGGACCUCUUCUGACGCUGAGGCGCGAAAGCUAGGGGAGCAAACGGG